This 468-nucleotide ribosomal RNA is filed under the name uncultured bacterium. Its description in RNAcentral is "partial 16S ribosomal RNA". It matches the Rfam family "Bacterial small subunit ribosomal RNA", at positions 28 to 507 of the family's 1533-position model. The record is from RNAcentral.
GACGAACGCUGGCGGCGUGCUUAACACAUGCAAGUCGAACGGAAAGGCCCUGCUUUUGUGGGGUGCUCGAGUGGCGAACGGGUGAGUAACACGUGAGUAACCUGCCCUUGACUUUGGGAUAACUUCAGGAAACUGGGGCUAAUACCGGAUAGGAGCUCCUGCUGCAUGGUGGGGGUUGGAAAGUUUCGGCGGUUGGGGAUGGACUCGCGGCUUAUCAGCUUGUUGGUGGGGUAGUGGCUUACCAAGGCUUUGACGGGUAGCCGGCCUGAGAGGGUGACCGGCCACAUUGGGAAUGAGAUACGGCCCAGACUACAACGGGAGGCAGCAGGGGGGAAUAGUGAACAAUGGGAGGAAGCCUGAUGCAGCAAAGCCGCGUGCGGGAUGACGGCCUUCGGGUUGUAAACCGCUUUCGCCUGUGACGAAGCGUGAGUGACGGUAAUGGGUAAAGAAGCACCGGCUAACUACGUG